Molecule: long non-coding RNA, 277 nt
Organism: Xiphias gladius (swordfish)
Lineage: Eukaryota; Metazoa; Chordata; Actinopteri; Istiophoriformes; Xiphiidae
Exons: 3
Source: RefSeq, a predicted model, not a curated record
CCCGAUCUCCAUCACUCACGUAACACUUGGCCACAUAACAAAAAGCCAGUCUCCUCAUGGCUACAUCGCAAGCGCACCGAGGAAGUUUUCUAUCUACGGAAUUAGGACCAUGGCUGAGGAAGGGAUCUUUCUGGGAAGACUUGCUUAUGAUCAAGACGGUGCAGCAUUUCAGACCUUCAAACUGCCUAAACCAGACAGCGGUGUUUUCAGAUAUGUGAAGUUACAGAUUGAGAACAACUGGGGAAACAUUGACAACACCUGCCUCUACAGCUUCAGG